Molecule: ribosomal RNA, 323 nt
Filed under: uncultured eukaryote
Lineage: Eukaryota
Description: partial 18S ribosomal RNA
Rfam family: Eukaryotic small subunit ribosomal RNA
Source: RNAcentral
CCCCUAGACGUUCUGGGCUGCACGCGCGCUACAAUAAUACGCACAGCGAGUAUCACCGAGCUCGAAAGGGCAAGGUAAACAAUAGAAAAGGUACUGUAAUGGUUAUAGAUCCUUGUAAUUAUUGAUCUUCAACGAGGAAUUCCUAGUAAGUAUGUGUCAUCAUCACGCACUGAUUACGUCCCUGCCCUUUGUACACACCGCCCGUCGCACCUACCGAUUGAAUGUUUCGGUGAAGAUUCCGGAUAGGACUUUUUUGAUUUAUUUCAAUUUUGUCUUAAAAGCUAUCUAAACCUCAACAUUUAGAGGAAGGUGAAGUCGUAACA